This 492-nucleotide ribosomal RNA is filed under the name uncultured bacterium. RNAcentral describes it as "partial 16S ribosomal RNA". It matches the Rfam family "Bacterial small subunit ribosomal RNA", at positions 29 to 507 of the family's 1533-position model. The record is from RNAcentral.
AGUGAACGCUGGCGGUAGGCCUAACACAUGCAAGUCGAACGGCAGCACAGUAAGAGCUUGCUCUUACGGGUGGCGAGUGGCGGACGGGUGAGGAAUACAUCGGAAUCUACUUUUUCGUGGGGGAUAACGUAGGGAAACUUACGCUAAUACCGCAUAUGACCUUCGGGUGAAAGCAGGGGAUCUUCGGACCUUGUGCGAUUGAAUGAGCCGAUGUCGGAUUUGCUAGUUGGCGGGGUAAAGGCCCACCAAGGCGACGAUCCGUAGCUGGUCUGAGAGGAUGAUCAGCCACACUGGAACUGAGACACGGUCCAGACUCCUACGGGAGACAGCAGUGGGGAAUAUUGGACAAUGGGCGCAAGCCUAAUCCAACCGGACCGCGUGGGUGAAGAAGACCUUCGGGUUGUAGAGCCCUUUUGUUGGGAAAGAAAAGCAGCAGGUUAAUACCCCGCUGUUCUGACGGUACCCAAAGAAUAAGCACCGGCUAACUUCGUG